CUGACUGUUACAGUAAAUACUGAGUUGUUAUGUAAGGUGUUAUAGGUGUGUGUGUGAGACCAAGAUAAUUUGGCUUUAUUUUAUGUUUCGAUUUGUUGUUUUAUUUGAAAAGUUGUUUUUUUUAUUGAAACUCCUAUUUAUCGAGAAAGGCAAGUUUAUUAAUUUAACACAUUUCAUGUGCAGAAACAAUUCGAAGUGCUUUACAUAAAACAAUAAAAGAAGCAAUCAAAAGAAAUAGUAAAUGUGUGACCCUUAAAAGAAAGUGAAAAGAUUUUAAAAGAUAAAGAGGAUUUUUUUUUCUCCCCUGCAGAUCGAGUUCCCAGAAGUGACGUUGCAGAAAAGUUGUUGCCUGAAGAGCGGAGAGCAGAUCUACAAGGUAAAGUUCUUUGGAAAAGCCAUUUUUUUCCUGGACCUGCUGCAUCAGCCUGAUGAGGGGAGUGAAGAGGAGCUGUGAUCCCUGCCUCAAGUGUCGGCCUGAUGAACUGGGAUACAGCAUCCAGAUGGACUGCAUCUAGCACUUUAUCACCUCCAAACAAGUUAAUGUUCAAUUGAAUCUCCUGUUUAAAGUGUUCAUAUUGGACUUGCUUUAUUUAGGACUUGGUCUUUACUGGCUCCAUGUUUACAUGUUGAGUCUUAAAGCUUUAUUAACAAAGUUGAUGUUGACAUUUUCAAAGCAUUUCAGAAAUGCCUCUUCUUACAGGUAAAAACUGAAAGCUAACAUUGUAAUUAACAGAUAUGAAAAUAAACACAAUGGUUUCAUGGCAA
This is a long non-coding RNA of Oryzias melastigma (Indian medaka), 765 nucleotides long. RefSeq lists it as uncharacterized. The record is from RefSeq and is a predicted model, not a curated record. The transcript is spliced from 2 exons. NCBI's taxonomy places the organism in Eukaryota, Metazoa, Chordata, Actinopteri, Beloniformes, Adrianichthyidae.